Long non-coding RNA from Solea solea (common sole), 2101 nucleotides. RefSeq lists it as uncharacterized. NCBI's taxonomy places the organism in Eukaryota, Metazoa, Chordata, Actinopteri, Pleuronectiformes, Soleidae. The record is from RefSeq and is a predicted model, not a curated record. The transcript has 2 exons.
UUAUUUAUUUUAGUUGGUGUUUGUAGACGCAUUUUAACUUUUAUUCCUUUAUUCUAUUUAUUCUUCUUUACAUAUAAAAGUGUGAGUGGAGUUUUCGAGUCCUUUCGAGAUCUUUUUUUGUUUUCCAUGAUUGAAAUGAAGAUGACAGAGUUUCAGUAAAAAAGAAAACUGAACAAAAACACAGAAAAAUGUAAAUGCUGCUUGUCGUACUGACACUGGGGACGAACGUGGGAUUUUAAUUUCAGAGCAGUUGUUGGUGUGUUUUGUUUUUCCUGCAGCAGCAGUAACAGCAUCAGCAUCAGCAGCAGUAACAGCAUCAGCAGCAGCAGCAGCAGCAGCAGCAGCAGCAGCAUCGCUCUGGCACAGUCAGGAACUAAAGAGGAAGGAGCUGCUGUCAAUAAUCACAGUGAUACAGCGGUGCGAGGAAGCUGUGAGCUGUUAUUUGUCCGUCAGCCAAGAGAAAAAAACCUCAGCGUCUGAGUUACUUUUCUGUGCCAAGAACACGAGCUCAGACAAAUGUGGAGGACGGCGCUCGCCACGGACGAAAGACAUGAACACGGGGAAGAGAAGAGGAAACAAGACGAACACACAAAACAACAGCUGGCAAACAAUCGUUCAUCUGCCCGUGAGAAAGUUCUCUUUCCAAAACACCAACAGCUUCAUAAAGAAAGGGAUCUGGAGCUGGUCUCAGACCAGAUGGGCCGCCGGGUCCCCCAGUGAGUUCUGGGUCUGUUCUGAGUCUCGUUCCCCGCUGGAGCUGGGACGGGUCCAAAAAAACACGGAGGAGGAAAAAGUCCACGGGGAGACGAGAGACGACGACGGUUCUGCUCCGAGCUGCUGCCGUUAAUCUUUAAUCUGAGCUCAUCAGCUGUGAACUUCAACAAGAGAUUCAUUUAUAUUCAAGAAAUAAUCCACACUUCAGUCUGUGACUCUCUGACAGUUUCUUAUCUAAACUAUUUUUCUUUCAUUUAAAAAAAGUUUUAGUCACACAUUCACGCAUUAUUUUUGCAUAAAAAAAACUGUAGUUUUUUACAGUGUUUGAUGACAUGUGACUUCGUGGAAGAAGUCAAAAGUCAAAUCUAAGCCUGAAAAUGACGCUGUCCUUUUAAAUUGAAAGUGCUUUAAUGUUAGCUAAUGUUAACAAGUUAGCAUGAUGUAGCAGAAAAAAAUUAAAAUAGACUAACAGGCUCCGCCUUUUUGGAAAAUGUCAGAACUCGUAACAGUGUAACACCAAUUUUAACUCUGUUGCUCUUAAUUUAAUGCUAAAAAAAUUUAAUUUUAAAACUUCAGAUUAUAUUGAACACUUUUAGUUUUAAGUUUAUACUAAAAUAUUCAAAUUUAACACUAGUGGAUUAAAUUUUAUUUGGUGAUUGUUUUACAGUGUAACACCAAUGUAUCUCUGGAUUAGUGUUAAAUUGAACUCUUUGGGCCAAAUCUGAUUGCUGGAAUAAAAACAACUUCAGGUUUAUUUCACAGUUUACAUUACCACUAAAAUAGUUAAAUUUUACACUAAUCCAUGUUGGAUUUAAUCUAAUCUGGUAAAUGUGACUGUGUUGUAUCUGAACUAUUGUUUUUAUACGUGUUUUUUUGUAUUUAAUUGCGAUGUUUCAGAUGGUUUUGAGUGUAAACACAGUCUGUGUGUCGACGUCGCGCUGCUCUGACACUUUGACUCAAGUGUUUAAUCUCAUUUAAUCCCCCCCUCUCUCUCUCUCUCCCUCUCUCUUAUCUUUCUGCUUCAUGAUGUUUGUUUACAAAUCUUCUUUUUUUUUUUUUGUUGACAGUGAAACACAUGUGAGAACCGCGUGGACUCCACUCCAAACCAAAUCCUCUUUACCGUCGCUAUCAUGGACUUUAAUCUAAUCCAGUCUCGUCUUCACACAGUUUUUUUUUUUCAUUCUCGUACGUUUGUUUUCCCACAAACUGAAGAGAACUGUGGAGAAAAAAAAAGAGAGAAAAUCUCUGUCAAAAUGGCCAAAGCUGAUAAAUCCAGAUAAUCUCUUUAGUCCACAGAUCUUCAGCUGCAGCAGCAGCGCACUGUAAAAAAUCAAACAUAAUCUGUGUAUCAUGUAAAUAUGGAUUAAACUUUAAAGGUUGGAGCUCA